AUUAUACAUAUUGUUUUCCAGGCUUUCCAGCUCAUGGGAAAGUGAUAUCAGCACCCACUCUCUGACCCUGCCUUUCCCAACCUGCUUGGAGCUGCUGUUGACGUUAUCAGGGAAUAAUGCCACUCUGCCUCCAUCCCUUCACUUUAUGAAUUCCUUUCGGGUGAGAAUGAGCUCCUUUACCAAGGAUCUCAAAGAGACCUUAGAAGACACCUUAUCAUUUUGCAAGAGGGGAGACUGAGAUCCAGUGAGACAAAGUGAGUUGGCCGGGGAAUACCCACUGUGUUGGAGAUGGAAGCAGGACUCCUCAGGCUUGUGCCCACAUGCCCCACCUGCUGCCCAAAUGCAGGAUGAUCUGAGGUCCUGGGAGGCAGAAGAAGGUUUGAGGGGUAGUUGGAAAAGGUUAUAAGUACUUUGGAAUGUUCACACACACCCCUUAUUUUGUAGAAACCUAUAAUUAUUUUAUUUAUUUGUAUAGUGCCCUGCACUAGAAAUUAUUUAAAAUUCUGUAUAUCAACCCAUAUUUCUUCCAAGUUUUGCUUAUUGAAUUGAACAUUGAAUAACACAAAAGUUUGUAUAUGCCCACAAACAUUUAUGGAGGAAGAUACAGGAAACUUAAUAGUGGUUCUUUAGAAAGGGAGGCUGGAAGACUAUUAUGUUUUAUUUCACUCCUUUAUGUAGUGUUGGAAUUUUUAUAUAACAGGUGACUGGGGAGCAAGAAAGAUGAGCCUGACUGUGAAGAUUUCACAGCAUAUUGGGGAAGUUAGAGCAAUCAUCCAUGUGUGAUAUAAAUUGGGAAUAAUUUUAUUACACAGUAGCCUCAACUCACAUCUUCAACAGAUUAAAGGUGAAAGAGUGAUCCAAACCUAGUACAGGGAAUUUGAGAGGAGGAGCAAUCUCAAUUUAUUCUCCAUGAGGUAGGAGUCUUGCUCCCUUCAAGGACCUCAGCUGGGACUCACAUAAAUGCACAAGCGGAAAGCCCAGUCUGCUCUUGGCAGCAUUAGUAUUCCCUCAUAGCACCGUUUAAUCACAGGGGCUCUGAGAGCCAUCAGGAUAAUACUGAAUGUCUCUGUUCGUGGUUGUACUUCACCUUGUUUCAGGCUGUUUUCUGAGUAUUAUUGCCAGGAGCACAUACUUUUUCCCAACUUCAAAGGUAUGGAGAAAUUUGGCACAAGUUCAUGAACAGAGUCUGCUAAAGAGAUUCAGUCCCUGCUGCUACUCCUGGAAAGAUGCAUUUUUAUCAGGAACAUACCAGGAAUAGACUUCCCUAUACAAGUCUUCAUUACAAGGUAAAGAUUCAGUGAAAAAAGGGAGGAUGCCUGUCAGGAUUAGAAAGAGAUGCGCUGCUUUUUCAUCCUUGUAACACCUACACCAUCAUUUAUUACAGUGGCAAGGAUUGGGGCAGCUAAUUUUGCCCAUAUUCAGAAUUUGCUUUUUCAGUUGGAAAAAUCACUUUAAUGCACAUUUAUUUAAAGUGCUGUGUUGGCAAAAGCUGUAAAGGAGUAGAACGACACUUGUUAAGGAUACCAUUUUACAGUUCCAUUUCUCUUACUUUCCAGGCCAAGUCAGCCACUGUGAGCAAUGCUUCUUUCUUUGUAAAAUGUUAGUUUAGGUUUCCUGAAAUUCAAAUGGCAUUUCUGCUUGAGCUAUUAUCACUGCCAAAUCCCAAAAGGAAAGGCUUAUCUUAUUAAUUAGAGGUAUUAACAUAUAUGAAAUUCCAACUUUUUAAAUUACACUUGUAACAUUUAUCUGAGACCAAUAGGGAUAUCUUUUGCUGGUUUUGUUGUCAUUUUAAUUUCUACUCUGUUACAGAACCUUAAUAUUCCAUAGUGUGAUUAUGAGCCAGCAAAACUUGUGAUUCAGCUGGGAAUCACUGAUACUUUGCUAAGCACAUGCAAGUCAUUGCAGUCCCAAGAAGGAUGGACUUAAUGUGUCACUCCCUGCUUAAAAUUCUUCCUUGACUUUCUAUUGUAAUGAGAAUAAAAUCAAACAUCUUAUCCUGGCCUACAAGGCCUGGCAACACCUGGCCCUCCUCCCUCUCUGGCUUCAUCUCCUCUUUCUCUCCACUUCAGUCCCUCUGCUCCAGGCACACUGGCAUUAUUUCCCACUUCUAUCACAGCAGGCUGCUUCUGGCCAUCAGCUUUGUGCUACCAGAUCUUCACAAGGCUGCAUCCUUCCUGUCUUCCAGGUGUUGGUUGAGGGUGUCUUCUCCCUCAGAAAGCCUAGCCUGACUCCACCCCUCACUGAGAUCCCCUCUUCCCAUUGUCGUCAUUUUAUAACCUCACCUUGUUUUAUUUUCUUCAUAGCACUUUUCACCAUUAAAAACAAUCUUGUUAA
Manis javanica (Malayan pangolin) is the source of this 2334-nucleotide non-coding RNA. NCBI's taxonomy places the organism in Eukaryota, Metazoa, Chordata, Mammalia, Pholidota, Manidae. The record is from RefSeq and is a predicted model, not a curated record.